UCCCACCAGGUUCUGUCGGUAGAGCAUGAGACUCUUAAUCUCAGGGUCGUGGGUUCGUGCCCCACGUUGGGCG
Molecule: transfer RNA, 73 nt
Filed under: Myotis lucifugus (little brown bat)
Lineage: Eukaryota; Metazoa; Chordata; Mammalia; Chiroptera; Vespertilionidae
Rfam family: tRNA
About the family: Transfer RNA (tRNA) molecules are approximately 80 nucleotides in length. Their secondary structure includes four short double-helical elements and three loops (D, anti-codon, and T loops).
Source: Rfam by way of RNAcentral